RNAcentral lists this transfer RNA (109 nucleotides) under Methanosarcinales archaeon. RNAcentral's name for it is "tRNA-Leu". It matches the Rfam family "tRNA". Rfam says of the family: Transfer RNA (tRNA) molecules are approximately 80 nucleotides in length. Their secondary structure includes four short double-helical elements and three loops (D, anti-codon, and T loops). Lineage: Archaea; Methanobacteriati; Methanobacteriota; Methanomicrobia; Methanosarcinales. The record is from RNAcentral.
GCGGGGGUCGCCAAGUCAGGUUAAACAACCCUUUUUCACGAGGACUAAAGGCGCAGCGUUCAGGGCGCUGUCCCGUAGGGGUUCGAGGGUUCAAAUCCCUUCCCCCGCA